ACAUAUAAUUUUGAAACACUGGUUCUCGUACGAUCACCGACGUUAAGCAACAUUGAGAAUGGUCAGUACGUAGAUGGGUGACCACUUAGGAAUACCAGG
Molecule: non-coding RNA, 99 nt
Organism: Acanthosepion pharaonis
Lineage: Eukaryota; Metazoa; Mollusca; Cephalopoda; Sepiida; Sepiidae
Source: the annotation of a GenBank genome assembly